CCUUCGGGCGCCGACGAGUGGCGGACGGGUGAGUAACGCGUAGGAAUCUGCCUCAUAGUGGGGGACAACGUGGGGAAACUCACGCUAAUACCGCAUACGCCCUACGGGGGAAAGCGGGGGCUCUUCGGACCUCGCGCUAUGAGAUGAGCCUGCGUUAGAUUAGCUAGUUGGUGGGGUAAAGGCCUACCAAGGCGACGAUCUAUAGCUGGUCUGAGAGGACGAUCAGCCACACUGGGACUGAGACACGGCCCAGACUCCUACGGGAGGCAGCAGUGGGGAAUAUUGGACAAUGGGCGCAAGCCUGAUCCAGCAAUACCGCGUGUGUGAAGAAGGCCUGAGGGUUGUAAAGCACUUUCAAUUGGGAGGAAAACCUACCGGUCAAUACCCGGUAGCUUGACAUUACCUUUAGAAGAAGCACCGGCUAACUCCGUGCCAGCAGCCGCGGUAAUACGGAGGGUGCGAGCGUUAAUCGGAAUUACUGGGCGUAAAGCGUGCGUAGGCGGUUGAUUAAGUCAGAUGUGAAAGCCCCGGGCUUAACCUGGGAACUGCAUUUGAAACUGGUCGACUAGAGUUGAGUAGAGGGGAGUGGAAUUUCAGGUGUAGCGGUGAAAUGCGUAGAGAUCUGAAGGAACACCAGUGGCGAAGGCGACUCCCUGGACUCAAACUGACGCUGAGGUACGAAAGCGUGGGUAGCAAACAGGAUUAGAUACCCUGGUAGUCCACGCUGUAAACGAUGUCAACUAGCCGUUGGCCCUAUUUACAGGGUUAGUGGCGCAGCUAACGCAUUAAGUUGACCGCCUGGGGAGUACGGCCGCAAGGUUAAAACUCAAAUGAAUUGACGGGGGCCCGCACAAGCGGUGGAGCAUGUGGUUUAAUUCGAUGCAACGCGAAGAACCUUACCUACCCUUGACAUCCAUGGAAUC
Molecule: ribosomal RNA, 923 nt
Filed under: uncultured Methylobacter sp.
Lineage: Bacteria; Pseudomonadati; Pseudomonadota; Gammaproteobacteria; Methylococcales; Methylococcaceae
Description: bacterial SSU rRNA
Rfam family: Bacterial small subunit ribosomal RNA
Source: RNAcentral